This is a long non-coding RNA of Myotis brandtii (Brandt's bat), 517 nucleotides long. RefSeq lists it as uncharacterized. The record is from RefSeq and is a predicted model, not a curated record. NCBI's taxonomy places the organism in Eukaryota, Metazoa, Chordata, Mammalia, Chiroptera, Vespertilionidae. The transcript has 3 exons.
UAUGCCCAGAGUUCGGGGUCCCCAAUAAUCAACCACCAGGGAGCCUUUUCCGAUGCAAAAGCAAAGACUCUUUAUUCAAACCCGGGUUUGGCCCCCAGCCUCCUUCCGACGCAGCAGUGAGCCGAGCGCCCGAUCCCCCGGAGAACAAAGGUUAUAUAGGGCUAGUCAUUUGGGUGGGCUUAGGUAAGUGACGUGGGUUACAGAGACUGGUCACUUAGGUAAGGGUUUUUCAACAGGGUCUUACAGCACAAAGGUCAGGAAGUGACCAGCACAUUCUGAGGCUUGGGCCGUCCCCCACUAUAGCCUUAUCAGGACCUUAGCUGCAUUCCUGGAGCUUCAUUGGUCCACUCAGGUGGUGGUUGGGGGAGUUAGGACAAUACCGACAUUCUUGUGGUCACUCAGAAAAGGAGGGGGCUUGGGCUGAGGGCCCAGCCCUACAAGACAAGAUAGAGGAGAGGGAGGAGAGUAUGUUUCUGCUUUGUCCUUUCACCAUAUCAACAGCAUAUCUCAGUAAGUA